AGCAGAGCGGCUUAGUGGAAAGAGCAUGGGUUUGGGAGUCAGAGGUUGUGGGUUCUAAUCCCACCUCUGCCA
This 72-nucleotide transfer RNA is filed under the name Ornithorhynchus anatinus (platypus). It matches the Rfam family "tRNA". From Rfam's summary of the family: Transfer RNA (tRNA) molecules are approximately 80 nucleotides in length. Their secondary structure includes four short double-helical elements and three loops (D, anti-codon, and T loops). Lineage: Eukaryota; Metazoa; Chordata; Mammalia; Monotremata; Ornithorhynchidae. The record is from Rfam by way of RNAcentral.